This is a long non-coding RNA of Spinacia oleracea (spinach), 1676 nucleotides long. RefSeq lists it as uncharacterized. The transcript is spliced from 4 exons. NCBI's taxonomy places the organism in Eukaryota, Viridiplantae, Streptophyta, Magnoliopsida, Caryophyllales, Amaranthaceae. The record is from RefSeq and is a predicted model, not a curated record.
CCCAAAAGCAAGAGAACUAAUUUUUUCAAUUGAAACACAAAGUAAUUAGGCGGCAAUCCCCAAUAUACUACCCAAAAGAAAAAGCAAACUCCAAAAAAAGAAAAAAAAAAAAACUAAGAGCAAACUGAAGGCGAGAUUGAAACCCCACAAAAGCAAAGCAUCGUCGCGCCUUAACCACCGCCUUCCCCCUAUCUCCUCAAUUUACUGCCGACGCCUUUCCCACCGCCUCCAGGCUUCCGAUGAAUGUCGUAUGUCCCGUCGCUUCCGUCAAUUUCGAGGGAAUACCACCGCCGCCAUAAGGUAUGCGAGAGGCACUCUAAGACGUUGUUGUUAUUAUUGUUGCUGGGAAGGAUUCGUCGUUCUGCCAGAAGUGUAGCAGGUAAAAGAAUGAUACUCCUUCUGUCUCAAAAGAAAUGUCAUUAUUACCCUCUACAGGCUCUAAGCCGGCCUAAUUAGGUGAAAUUAUGAAAUUAUUAUCUUAUAACUAAACUAAUUGAUAUGCUAUUGACCUCGUUUAAGGUAUUGUGCGCCUUGUGACCUGACGUUUUCAUUGAGCUGAUAAGAAACCACUUUAUAUAUUAACUUAUUGGUGUUGAUUGUAGAAAAGGUUGUCCAUAUGAAAAUGUAGGUACAUGGAGUAAUGAUUUACAGUGUUGAUUGUAAAAAAGAUUACCCAUAUGAAAAUGUAGGUACAUAGAGUAAUGAUUUUACAGUGUUGAUUGUAGAAAAGUUGGUCCAUAUGAAAAUAUAGGUACAUAGAGUAAUGAUUUUAUAGUGCUGAUGCAUUGAUUCUACUGCAUAACCUGUGAUUUGCUAUAUCUUUGGUUUGUUUUUCCUGUCAUAGUAUAUACUGCAAUCCCUUAGGUUUCGGUCCCUUGAAGAGUUUGACGAGGUUAAGAGAAGCUGCAGAAAACCGUUGGAUGGACAUAAUUGACGUAGGAGGAACAGACAGUCUGAAGCAUUUUACAUGUGUAGUUUUGCUGCUGGCUUUUUGUCAUCUCAUACAGCAGAUGGAAUGCUCCAUCAGUUUUGCUGCCCACAAACUCAAACUGUAAACUGGCCUACAAUGUCAUAGCCUCCUAAUCUGUACUUUAGAAUUAAUCAAGAAACAAUUUAUGAGCCACUUCUGAAUGGGGUUGCCGUUGGUCAAACCGUAAGCAGGACACUGAUGGUUUCAGCUGACGACUCGGGAUUUGCUCUCUCUCUUCUGUCAAAGUAUUCAUCAGAUAUCUGUGUGGAACCUGCUAUGCAACCAACACCUAUGAGUUCAUCAACAGGUCAAGGUCAAGGUGGAUGAAGAUGCUACCGUUGGACUGGAAGCCUUUUCUCGAAUACCACAUGUUGUGCCGGUAAUUGCAAAUGCGGGGUUUUCCCGAGUUUAGCCUUGUGAUUUAAACGUUAUCUUAGCGCAGUUUCAAAGAAGAAAAGUAAACAAGAGCUUGUGUAUGAAAUUACAAGAUACAACUGAAUUUACCGUAUAGUAGAAAAACAUUCAUUUGAGGCGUCACUUUUAUAUUCAUUAGCGGCGUUUUAGGCGUAGCAGCAAAUAGAGUGGCAGCAAAUGAAUGGCACUGAUUUGCGGCGUUAAAAAACGCCUCAAAUUAAUCAUUCAUUUGCGACGUAAUGUAGAAAAAACGCCUCAAAUGAAUAGUAUUGUAUGGCGGCGUUUCUACCCA